AGAAUCAGAGGUUCCUGCAACUUUUCUUUUAUUCUUUGCCCCUUGGCAAUCAUUAUUUCACCUGACCGUUUGAUCUCUUUUUCUUGAAUGGGUUCCCACAUGGCUGUUAUAUGAGAUGUGAACCAUGACAGUAGUUCAAUCUUUCUAUGAAACCACGAAACUCUCUUUUUAUCCUCGGUUCAGACUUCUUUUUUUUUAUUUUUUUAUUUUUUUUUUUGGCAGGAUGAACCUCGAUUCCUCCCUUACAAUGAACCCCAACAUCUUAC
RNAcentral lists this long non-coding RNA (266 nucleotides) under Lathyrus oleraceus (garden pea). Its description in RNAcentral is "Pisum sativum (pea) long non-coding RNA (PSAT_LNC011189)". The record is from RNAcentral. Lineage: Eukaryota; Viridiplantae; Streptophyta; Magnoliopsida; Fabales; Fabaceae.